AGCAAUUUGUGUUUUCACAAGCCAUCCAGGUGAUUUCCAUGUGUACUCAAGUUUGAGAACUGCUGCAUCACUAUUCUAAGGAUGGUAUGACUUACUUGAGAAAGGAAUUUUCAGGCUGAUCCCAUUUUCUUUUCUGAUUAAUGAAGGGCAAAAGUGUUUUAUUGGUAAAAAAAUUAAUUUUUAUAAACAAAAUAUAUAUUACUACAACUUGAAAGACAUCAAUUUACUUUUCUCCUUUUUUUCUAUUUUAGUUGCAAUGAACUGAGACUGACAUUUCAAUGACUAGCCUAAAAGAAUAUAAGGAGAAAAAAGUGUAGAGAAUGAAACACUGCCAAUAAAUAUGCAGAAGUAAAAAAUUGCACCAGAUAAUUUCAAGAUAGUGAAGGCCAGAAAGAAAUACAGAACAGGAAACCCAGAUGCUGUCUGCAUUGGAAAAGAUUUCACAAAAUAUGCCAUUAACAUGCUGAAGUGACUAAGCAUUUCUGGCAUUAGGAAACCUUUCAAGAGUCCACUAAUGAUUGAUUUACUCUUCUUUAUGGGACACUAAAGUUGAGAACGGAGUAUCUUCUGCAGCCUUUGACUGACACAUGAGGCCUUCUCUGGAGAUAAGCUGGGGUUAUAAAACUUUCCAUGAGAGGCCAAAUCCAUCAGUCAUUCCAGAAAACCUCACAGCCAGUUCUACUCCAUAUGAAAUCUGUCUGGGCAUCAAUGUACUGAUGAAUGCAAUGAAGACGCGGAUCAAAACCAUUCUUAGUGCGAUUCAGUGGGGUGUCGUACUUUGCAUUGAAUGGCUGCAUAACAUCCAGGAGAGACAUAAACGUAAGAAGAAAACUUUGGAGUGGAAUCAUUAUCAAGAAAAAGCAAACCACAAAGGAAAGUACCUGAGUGUUUUCCCUUCUCUUCAUAACACUCCACGGAAGGACCACCAAUGAAGCCUACUACUAAAGAUGCAAAUAUCCCUGGAAAAGGAGCUGGAGUGACAGGAACACUGAUCCUACACCAGGACUGAGCACAGCAGAUAGAGAUGAAGCAGGACCCAGGAAAUGUGUAUUGCAAGUUUGAAGGUUGAGCUUCUGUGGAACAGUGAUCUUGCUGGAACACUCACGUGAAGAAUGAGAGUGGAUAGCGAGGCUGAGAAGGACAGCGGAGAUGGGGGGACUAUCAUCAGGGGAAUCAUAGACCUGAGUGAGAUAGGACAAGCACAAGGAAAAGCACCAGGCCUUCAAGGAGAGAACCUUUAGAGAUUGCAAAAGGUGCCCACGGUUGGUGGAAGGGGUGCUUUCAAAGGUGAAUGUGGUGAAUCCUUACCUGCAGGAGGAGAUGAAGGGGUGCUCCUGUUUUCCCAGGGUCUGAGAUUAGGCUGGAACCAUUGGCCAGAAACUUAGUUUCAUGGCAGGCUUCUUCAGCCUUUCUGGCAUCUGAGGACUAGUAGCAACAAACUCCAUCACCCUAUUCACUGUCUUAGGUAGUACGUCAUAUCCUGCAAACCACUAGAUUAUAAACACAAUCUGUGGUCUGCUUUCAUAUCUCAGGUAAGAUUUUUGAGGGUCAGUCUUAUGGCUACACCCAGAGACUUGUCAGAGUCAAGCCUUCUGGGCUAGUUUAGGGAGCCACAGUUUGCUACUCAGAGUUGGGUUUGAAAUAGUUGGGCAACAAGUCACUUUUUUUUAAUCUUCCUGUGUGCUUUCAGCAGUCAUCAUGAUUCAUAUGACAUAGUUCCUCGAAAGACCAAGAAAAAAGAUGACAAAACAAAAUUCACACAAUACUUCCUAUUUCCUAUAGUGCAGGGAUACAUAUUUUCUUCCUUUCCUUUUUUCUUUUUGAAUAAGGACCUCACUGUGUCAACCAAGCUGGAGUGCAGUGGUGCGAUCUCGGCCCACUACAACCUCCGUUUCCUGGGUUCAAGCGAUUCUCAUGCCUCAACCUUCGAAGUGGAGUGCAGUGCCUUGACCUCCUAGGCUCAAGGGAUCCUCCCACCUCAGCCGUCUGAGUAGCUGGGACUACAGACACAUGCCACCACACUUGACUAAUUUAUUUGUUUUUUGUAGAGAUUGGGGUGGGGGGGCCUCACUACGUUGCCCAGGCUGGUCUUGAACUCUUGGGCUCAAGCAAUCUACCUGUCACGGCCUCUUAAAGUGCUGGGAUUACUGGCAUGAGCCACUGUGCCCAGCCUUCAUAUUAUUUACAACUACAGUACAUAGUCAAGAAUGUCUGGGAUUUCAGAGUUGGAAGCAUUAAGAAAGAAAUAUUUCUGUGAUUAAAUAUAGAUACUGGGUAACAGUGUCUGUUUCUAAUUUAUUUUUUAUACUAAUUUUUUCACUGCAAACAAACUAAAAGACAGUGACUUUUAGGCCAGCUGCAGUGGCUCAUGCCUGCAAUCCCAGUACUUUGGGAGGCUGAGGCAGGCAGAUCACUUGAGGCCAAGAGUUUAAGACCAGCCUGGCCAACAUGGCAAAACUCUGUCUCUAGUCAAAAUACAAAUAUUAGCCGGAUAUGGUGGUGCGUGCCUAUAAUCCAGCUACUCGGGUGACUGAGGCACAAGAGUCACUUGAACCCAGAAGGCAGAGGGUGCAGUGAGCCAAGGUCAAAAUGUGGCCAGGGGACCCCUGGGGGUCCCUAGGUUCUUUUUGAGAGACCACAAGAUUCUGCCUUUUUCAACUAUAUAUCUAUCUGUGUAAAACUGGAUUUUCUUUAUGUACUUCAGCCAAAACAAUGUAAGUAACAGACUGAAUACAGAAGUAGAUAUGAGAUCUUAGCCAUCUUCUCUGAGGCCAGAUGGUAAAUAAUUCUAUAAAAAUAUAACAAUGUCAAUCUUCUCAUUGCAUUUUGUGGGUGUUGGGGAAAUACAGUUACUUUUCAUGAAAAACAUUAUUAAUGUUAAAAUAUAAAGAGUUUGUUAUAGUUAUUUUAAAUGAAUGAACACGUUACAACCGUUUCUCAGUUUUAAUUUCUAAUCUAGUGAAUAUUAAUACAUAUAAACCACACAAACAAAAGCUCUUUUUUUAAAAAAAUUAUACUUUAAGUUCUGGGAUACAUGUACAGAACAUGCAAGUUUGUUACAUAGGUAUACAUGUGCCAUGGUGGUUUGCUGCACCCAUCAACCCAUCUACAUUAGGUGUUUCUCCUAAUGCACUACCUUCCCUAGCCCCCCACCCCCUGACAGGCCCUGGUGUGUGAUAUUCCCCUCCCUGUGUCCAUGUGUUUUCAUUGUUUGACUCCCACUUAUGAAUGAGAACAUGCGGUGUUUGGUUUUCUGUUCUUGUGUUAGUUUGCUGACAAUGAUGGUUUCCAGCUUCAUCCAUGUCCCUGAAAAGGACAUGAACUCAUCCUUUUUUAUAGCUGCUAAGUAUUCCAUGGUGUAUAUGUGUCACAUUUUCUUUAUCCAGUCUAUCAUUGAUGGGCAUUUGGGUUGGUUCCAAGUCUUUGCUAUUGUGAACGGUGCUGCAAUAAACAUACGUGCCUCACGAAGUUUUAAGAGGAUAAAGGCGUCCUGAUACCGAGAUGUUUGAAAACUCCUGUGUGAGUUCUGGUUCGUUUUCCUCAAACUAAUUCUGUGGACUUUGUACCCAUUCAAAUCCCAUUUCUUUAGCUUGAGUUUGUUACCACCUCCACCCUCUUCAUUUUCCUUCCCAA
This is a long non-coding RNA of Aotus nancymaae (Ma's night monkey), 3633 nucleotides long. The record is from Ensembl. Lineage: Eukaryota; Metazoa; Chordata; Mammalia; Primates; Aotidae.